RNAcentral lists this long non-coding RNA (276 nucleotides) under Gossypium barbadense (sea-island cotton). RNAcentral describes it as "long non-coding RNA (GBAR_LNC020396)". The record is from RNAcentral. Lineage: Eukaryota; Viridiplantae; Streptophyta; Magnoliopsida; Malvales; Malvaceae.
UCUUGCUUUGCUUGAAGCAACGAUUCCCGGGUUUGACUCAAACUACAUUAGAUACCAGCAAAAUCCAAUGCAACAAGGUUUGGAAUUUCGAACCUGAAAACUACUUCAUAUCCCCUCUGAAUGUUUGGAAUUUCGAACCUGAAAACUACUUCAUAUCCCCUCUGAAUGUUUUUAUUCAUACCUUAUUUUUCGAACUUUCAGGAUGUUGGAAAGUCCAUUCUUGAAAGCUAUUCAAGAGUUUUGGAAAGCCUUGCAUACAACAUCGUUGCACGUAUU